GCUUAGAGAGGGGUCAAUGUCCUAUCAGCUAGUUGGUAGGGUAAUGGCCUACCAAGGCUAAGACGGGUAGCCGGCCUGAGAGGGUGGUCGGCCACACUGGGACUGAGACACUGCCCAGACUCCUACGGGAGGCUGCAGUCGAGAAUCUUUCGCAAUGCCCGAAAGGGUGACGAAGCGACGCCGCGUGUGGGAAGAAGGCCUUCGGGUUGUAAACCACUGUCGGGAGUUAAGAAAUGUAAGGGUGUUAAUAGCAUCCUUACUUGACUAAGGCUCCGGAGGAAGCCACGGCUAACUCUGUGCCAGCAGCCGCGGUAAUACAGAGGCGGCAAGCGUUGUUCGGAAUUAUUGGGCGUAAAGAGCACGUAGGCGGCUUUGUAAGUCAGUUGUGAAAGCCUUCUGCUUAACGGAAGAACAGCAUCUGAUACUGCAAGGCUAGAGUACGGAAGGG
Molecule: ribosomal RNA, 448 nt
Filed under: uncultured Planctomycetota bacterium
Lineage: Bacteria; Pseudomonadati; Planctomycetota
Description: bacterial SSU rRNA
Rfam family: Bacterial small subunit ribosomal RNA
Source: RNAcentral